UACGUAGGGUGCAAGCGUUAAUCGGAAUUACUGGGCGUAAAGGGCGCGUAGGCGGCCAGCACAAGUCAGUUGUGAAAUCUCCGGGCUUAACUCGGAAAGGUCAACUGAUACUGUGCGGCUAGAGUGCAGAAGGGGCAACUGGAAUUCUCGGUGUAGCGGUGAAAUGCGUAGAUAUCGAGAGGAACACCUGCGGCGAAGGCGGGUUGCUGGGCUGACACUGACGCUGAAGCGCGAAAGCUAGGGGAGCGAACGGG
Molecule: ribosomal RNA, 254 nt
Filed under: uncultured bacterium
Lineage: Bacteria
Description: partial 16S ribosomal RNA
Rfam family: Bacterial small subunit ribosomal RNA
Source: RNAcentral